GGGAAUUUUAAAAAGAAGAAGAAAUCAGAGGAAGCCUUGCAGUGUGUGAGCUGUACCCCAGGUAAUCCCACUGAUAUCAGGACAUCUCUAUACAUUUUUCCGAUACCACAUUUCUCAGGGGUAUCACAGACUCAGUCCAUCUAUGCAACCCAAUUCUAAGGACAUCCUGGCUUCAAAAAGCAACAGAGUGAAAGAUAAUUCAUGGAAGUGGAGAGAAAGUCUAUUGUCAACAUAGAAACAAAUGAGAACUUACCUUAACUUUCAGCAUGCCCUACGAACUAGAACAUCUCUUCAUUCUCAACACACGCUACACACUCGGUCUUCUUAGAGCAGCUAUCCAAGUGCAGACACUGGAGAAAGGGAGGACAUGAUUGUUCUAAGAUGAGUGGAUGCCUCCCCUAUCUUCAGUGAACAAGCCAGCGCUCCAAUAAAAAGCAAACUUAUCUAAAAUAGUGGCUCUCAACCUUCCUGAUACUGUGACCCUUGAUGCAGUGUUGUGAUUAUCUCCAAGUAUAAAGUUAUAUUCAUUGCUACUUCAGAACUGCAAUUUUUGCCACUGUUUUGACACGUAAUAUAAAUAUCUGAUAUGCAGAUGGUCUUAGGAGAUCCCAGUGAAAGGAUUGUUCAACGCCCCCCCCAACCCCCCCCACACACACACACACACACACACACAAGAGAGGCCAUGACCCACAGGCUGAGAGCCACUGAUCUAAAGCUGACACGGGACAGGACUGUCAGAUUCUUAUGAAAACAAACUCAAGAAUACUGACUGACUUCAGCAUAUUAGAGACAUCAUCAAGUCCUCCUUUUUGUAUUAGGCUAUUUAACUACAGUUACGCCAUCUCCUGAUAGUAGUCUAUGAAUACUUUAGAUGUUAAACCUAUCUUGGGUAAAACUGGUCUCUGAUCACUUAGACCAGCCCUUAAUUCCCAUACAAUGAUGACCCUGAGCUAAAUGUCAACUACCUGGCCAUUCAACUACUAUCUCUCUGCUUCUGUACAAUUCUUGCUUGCUGUGGAUUUCCAGAGCUGCCUCUCUGUAUAUGGCACAAUUGUAAGUUUUACCCUUAAAAACUGGAACCAACUAGAGGUCAAGGCUGUUUGCCACAACAAUCUGCUUGGGACAGUCCCAUUGGUAGUUAAUAAAGACUCCAUUCCACU
Molecule: long non-coding RNA, 1160 nt
Filed under: Mus caroli (Ryukyu mouse)
Lineage: Eukaryota; Metazoa; Chordata; Mammalia; Rodentia; Muridae
Description: lncRNA (MGP_CAROLIEiJ_G0004674.1)
Source: RNAcentral